Molecule: long non-coding RNA, 687 nt
Organism: Pseudophryne corroboree (corroboree frog)
Lineage: Eukaryota; Metazoa; Chordata; Amphibia; Anura; Myobatrachidae
Exons: 5
Source: RefSeq, a predicted model, not a curated record
CACACAGGGAAACGCACUUCCGGCCUCGCUCGCGCUGCUUCAGGCAUUUUAGCGCCAUGGUAACGGCGGGGAGUCCUCGCUUUUGCCACCAGAGACCCCGCUGAGGUUUCAUUACUCUGUCCUGUGUUAUACAGCUCUAAAGUUAUAGGGUAUCACCUUGUAUUUGAAACCGCCAUGUGGGGCGUGUCCUCAUUGCUUAUUUUGAGUUUUUAGCUUGGAAUUGUUUUUCUACAAUAUGGAUAUGAGCCGAUAAACCAAGUGAAUAGGGAGGUUACAGCUGAGUACUAAUUGGAUCAGCCUCCAGAUGUAGAGUGGAGUCCAACCCCAAACAGCAGAAAACCACAUACUAUACUUGAGGUAUGAUAAACCAUGCAGACUCCAGUGCCCAUCAGGAAUCAUUGUUGCCAAGAACAGAUGACAGGUGCCAUCAGAAGUGCUAACAGCUGUGUUGAUUGUGAACACUGCUUCCCCUGGCCAAGUGCACUGACCAGGACUGUGCAUAAGAGUUGUCAUGGCAACCGCCGGGUAAGAUGAGGGAUGAUGUAAUCGGGCGGUGCCGCUCUCACUUGGCAGCGGAAGCCUGGUUCAAGGCGUGGAAUGCGGGAGGAGAUCAGUGGGCACUGGUAGGGUGUAUAACGUAAGAGUUUUUAUGUUAUGUUUGCUGUCUCAUUCUGAAGACUGUGUGUG